GAUUGAACGCUGGCGGCAGGCCUAACACAUGCAAGUCGAGCGGAUGAAGGGAGCUUGCUCCUGGAUUCAGCGGCGGACGGGUGAGUAAUGCCUAGGAAUCUGCCUGGUAGUGGGGGAUAACGUCCGGAAACGGGCGCUAAUACCGCAUACGUCCUGAGGGAGAAAGUGGGGGAUCUUCGGACCUCACGCUAUCAGAUGAGCCUAGGUCGGAUUAGCUAGUUGGUGGGGUAAAGGCCUACCAAGGCGACGAUCCGUAACUGGUCUGAGAGGAUGAUCAGUCACACUGGAACUGAGACACGGUCCAGACUCCUACGGGAGGCAGCAGUGGGGAAUAUUGGACAAUGGGCGAAAGCCUGAUCCAGCCAUGCCGCGUGUGUGAAGAAGGUCUUCGGAUUGUAAAGCACUUUAAGUUGGGAGGAAGGGCAGUAAGUUAAUACCUUGCUGUUUUGACGUUACCAACAGAAUAAGCACCGGCUAACUUCGUGCCAGCAGCCGCGGUAAUACGAAGGGUGCAAGCGUUAAUCGGAAUUACUGGGCGUAAAGCGCGCGUAGGUGGUUCAGCAAGUUGGAUGUGAAAUCCCCGGGCUCAACCUGGGAACUGCAUCCAAAACUACUGAGCUAGAGUACGGUAGAGGGUGGUGGAAUUUCCUGUGUAGCGGUGAAAUGCGUAGAUAUAGGAAGGAACACCAGUGGCGAAGGCGACCACCUGGACUGAUACUGACACUGAGGUGCGAAAGCGCGGGGAGCAAACAGGAUUAGAUACCCUGGUAGUCCACGCCGUAAACGAUGUCGACUAGCCGUUGGGAUCCUUGAGAUCUUAGUGGCGCAGCUAACGCGAUAAGUCGACCGCCUGGGGAGUACGGCCGCAAGGUUAAAACUCAAAUGAAUUGACGGGGGCCCGCACAAGCGGUGGAGCAUGUGGUUUAAUUCGAAGCAACGCGAAGAACCUUACCUGGCCUUGACAUGCUGAGAACUUUCCAGAGAUGGAUUGGUGCCUUCGGGAACUCAGACACAGGUGCUGCAUGGCUGUCGUCAGCUCGUGUCGUGAGAUGUUGGGUUAAGUCCCGUAACGAGCGCAACCCUUGUCCUUAGUUACCAGCACCUCGGGUGGGCACUCUAAGGAGACUGCCGGUGACAAACCGGAGGAAGGUGGGGAUGACGUCAAGUCAUCAUGGCCCUUACGGCCAGGGCUACACACGUGCUACAAUGGUCGGUACAAAGGGUUGCCAAGCCGCGAGGUGGAGCUAAUCCCAUAAAACCGAUCGUAGUCCGGAUCGCAGUCUGCAACUCGACUGCGUGAAGUCGGAAUCGCUAGUAAUCGUGAAUCAGAAUGUCACGGUGAAUACGUUCCCGGGCCUUGUACACACCGCCCGUCACACCAUGGGAGUGGGUUGCUCCAGAAGUAGCUAGUCUAACCGCAAGGGGGACGGUUACCACGGAGUGAUUCAUGACUGGGGUGA
This 1460-nucleotide ribosomal RNA is filed under the name uncultured bacterium. RNAcentral's name for it is "bacterial SSU rRNA". It matches the Rfam family "Bacterial small subunit ribosomal RNA". The record is from RNAcentral.